RNAcentral lists this transfer RNA (74 nucleotides) under Anaerolineae bacterium. Its description in RNAcentral is "tRNA-Arg". It matches the Rfam family "tRNA". Rfam says of the family: Transfer RNA (tRNA) molecules are approximately 80 nucleotides in length. The record is from RNAcentral. Lineage: Bacteria; Bacillati; Chloroflexota; Anaerolineae.
ACCCCGGUAGCUCAAAAGGAUAGAGCAAGGCUCUCCUAAAGCCUAGGUUGUGGGUUCGACUCCCACCCGGGGUA